AUUGAACGCUGGCGGCAGGCCUAACACAUGCAAGUCGAGCGGAUGAAGGGAGCUUGCUCCUGGAUUCAGCGGCGGACGGGUGAGUAAUGCCUAGGAAUCUGCCUGGUAGUGGGGGAUAACGUCCGGAAACGGGCGCUAGUACCGCAUACGUCCUGAGGGAGAAAGUGGGGGAUCUUCGGACCUCACGCUAUCAGAUGAGCCUAGGUCGGAUUAGCUAGUUGGUGGGGUAAAGGCCUACCAAGGCGACGAUCCGUAACUGGUCUGAGAGGAUGAUCAGUCACACUGGAACUGAGACACGGUCCAGACUCCUACGGGAGGCAGCAGUGGGGAAUAUUGGACAAUGGGCGAAAGCCUGAUCCAGCCAUGCCGCGUGUGUGAAGAAGGUCUUCGGAUUGUAAAGCACUUUAAGUUGGGAGGAAGGGCAGUAAGUUAAUACCUUGCUGUUUUGACGUUACCAACGGAAUAAGCACCGGCUAACUUCGUG
This 484-nucleotide ribosomal RNA is filed under the name uncultured bacterium. RNAcentral describes it as "partial 16S ribosomal RNA". It matches the Rfam family "Bacterial small subunit ribosomal RNA", at positions 30 to 507 of the family's 1533-position model. The record is from RNAcentral.